GUCUAUGGCCAUGCCACCCUGAACAAGCUCCCAUCUGAUCUCAGAAGCUAAGCAGGGUCAGGCCUGGUUAGUACUUGGAUGGGAGACCACCUAGAAAGACAAGGUGCUGUAGGGG
Molecule: ribosomal RNA, 115 nt
Filed under: Pteropus alecto (black flying fox)
Lineage: Eukaryota; Metazoa; Chordata; Mammalia; Chiroptera; Pteropodidae
Source: RNAcentral